AUUGAACGCUGGCGGCAGGCCUAACACAUGCAAGUCGAGCGAGCGGCGGACGGGUGAGUAAUGUCUGGGAAACUGCCUGAUGGAGGGGGAUAACUACUGGAAACGGUAGCUAAUACCGCAUACCAUCAGAUGUGCCCAGAUGGGAUUGGCUAGUAGGUGGGGUAAUGGCUCACCUAGGCGACGAUCCCUAGCUGGUCUGAGAGGAUGACCCGCCAAACUGGAAUUGAGACAGGGGCCAGACUCUUACGGGAGGCAGCAGUGGGGAAUAUCGGACAAUGGGCGCAAGCCGGAUGAAGCCAUGCGGGGUAUGGGAAGAAGGCCUUCGGGUUGUAAAGCACUUUCAUCGGGGAGGCGUUACCCGAAGAAGAAGCACCGGCUAACUCCGUGCCAGCAGCCGCGGUAAUAC
This 406-nucleotide ribosomal RNA is filed under the name uncultured bacterium. RNAcentral describes it as "partial 16S ribosomal RNA". It matches the Rfam family "Bacterial small subunit ribosomal RNA", at positions 29 to 526 of the family's 1533-position model. The record is from RNAcentral.